UUGACUGUGUGCAGCUUUCAUCUUCACCCCAGCUCCAGAUUCCUACCUCUGAUGGCCAUGGGGACAGGGCAGGAGAGGGGCAGAGGCCUGAUUUGAGUAAAAGUUUGAGCCUUGAGGAAUUUUGCCUCCUACUGCCAUCAUUCCACCAUUCGAGCCUUCCUGUGGCCUCCACCUUCUCACUCUGCAAGUUCCUGGGACCUGCCUUCCUGGGCUGUGUGCCACCGCUGUGCCCUUCUCUGAAGCGACAUUGUCUCCCCCUCAACACGCAACCUCCAUUUAAUAGAUGAGAAACGGACAGUGGAAUAGGAAUCCAGGGACGAGGAAAUCCCAGAUGAACACAAGCUAACAACUACGAGAUACAAGUGACUGCCGGAUACACAGGAAAUCCAGUGCCUUGAGUGAAAAUCAGCAGAAUGAGAAACUGAGGGCCAGAGAGAGGAAGAGACUUCCAGAUGGACCUUGAGUCUCAGCACCUCGGCAAGUGUGUUCUCUGCUAAACCCCAUGAGCUGCCUGCAGAGCUCACUAGGACCUCUUACACGCGGUGUGGGUUGUGUCACAACAUGCAAACCACAGCAGAGAUUCCAGCCGCUCACACUGAAAAGAAACACAGUCCUUCAAAAGACUGACCCCUGAGCUCAACACAAACGCAAGGUGCUGUCUCUCUGGAAGGAAGACCAGCCCCCUGCACCAGGCCUGGCACAGGCAGACUCCUGCAAUUUGGUGGGGUCCCCGGGGUGGGGUGCAGAUGUGCUUGCAGCGUGCAGAAGGCCCCGCAUGGGUGAGAGCCCGCAGCCGGGUCCCAUCCCUAAUGCUGCUGCCAAGUGACCGCAGGCCUUGAUGAGCCUUCUGAGUCCGGCGUUUCAGGUGGAAAGUUCCCCACGGAGUUGGACCUGACGACAUUUUGUGAUUUGAACUGCUGAGCAACUAAACCUGUUAAGUCCUGGGGUAGGCAAGCUGCUCCCCAGCCACCUGGCCCAGAAGGGAGCCAAGAGAAGAGCCAGCUUUAUGUUAGGCAGAAGAGGGAGAGGACCCCGGCCGCCCUGCACUGGGGCUCUGAAGGUCAACAAAACAGCUGCCAGCACAUGGCCUGCCAGCGUUGCACACACACCCGCCGGCAUUGCACAAUACCUGCCAGCAUUGCACACACACCCGCCAGCAUUGCACAUACACCCACCGGCAUUGCACACACACAUGAUGGCAUUGCACACACACCCGCCGGCAUUGCACAUACCCACCAGCAUUGCACACACACCUGCCAGCAUUGCACACACAUCUGUUUGGGGCCGAUAGGGUCUGGGUGAG
Molecule: long non-coding RNA, 1303 nt
Organism: Talpa occidentalis (Iberian mole)
Lineage: Eukaryota; Metazoa; Chordata; Mammalia; Eulipotyphla; Talpidae
Exons: 3
Source: RefSeq, a predicted model, not a curated record